UACGGAGGGCGCGAGCGUUGUCCGGAAUCACUGGGCGUAAAGGGCGCGUAGGCGGCCCUGGUAAGUCUGCGGUGAAAGCCCGGGGCUCGACCCCGGGUCGGCCGCGGGUACUGCCGGGCUGGAGUGCCGUAGGGGCAGGCGGAAUUCCGGGUGUAGCGGUGGAAUGCGUAGAGAUCCGGAAGAACACCGGUGGCGAAGGCGGCCUGCUGGGCGGCGACUGACGCUGAGGCGCGACAGCGUGGGGAGCAAACAGG
This 254-nucleotide ribosomal RNA is filed under the name uncultured bacterium. RNAcentral describes it as "partial 16S ribosomal RNA". It matches the Rfam family "Bacterial small subunit ribosomal RNA", at positions 524 to 776 of the family's 1533-position model. The record is from RNAcentral.